This 253-nucleotide ribosomal RNA is filed under the name uncultured bacterium. RNAcentral's name for it is "partial 16S ribosomal RNA". It matches the Rfam family "Bacterial small subunit ribosomal RNA", at positions 524 to 776 of the family's 1533-position model. The record is from RNAcentral.
UACGAAGGGGGCAAGCGUUGUUCGGAUUUACUGGGCGUAAAGGGCGCGUAGGCGGAUUUGUAAGUCAGAGGUGAAAGCCCUGGGCUCAACCCGGGAAUGGCCUUUGAGACUGCAAGUCUUGAGUGCGAGAGAGGGUGGCGGAAUACCCAGUGUAGAGGUGAAAUUCGUAGAUAUUGGGUAGAACACCGGUGGCGAAGGCGGCCACCUGGCUCGCAACUGACGCUGAGGCGCGAAAGCGUGGGGAGCAAACAGG